Long non-coding RNA from Teleopsis dalmanni, 207 nucleotides. RefSeq lists it as uncharacterized. NCBI's taxonomy places the organism in Eukaryota, Metazoa, Arthropoda, Insecta, Diptera, Diopsidae. The record is from RefSeq and is a predicted model, not a curated record. The transcript is spliced from 3 exons.
AAUUGUGCAUUUUUAAGUGAAAUUACAACUAUUAAAAAAUAUCAUUAAAUAUCAACUAUGUCUUUCAAAUUGUUGCGAAUAUUUUCCUAGCUUAAUAAUGUGGAUCCAUCAAAUAUAUAUAAAGCCUUUUAUAGGUUCUUGUAAUGAUAAUUAAUUAAUGGUAAAGAUGCUUACAACAGGACUUAAAAUCUUGAAACAAAAAUAAAU